GGGUGAGUAACACGUAUGGAACCUGCCCGUAGCAGGGGGAUAAGCGGAAGAAAUUCCGUCUAAUACCGCGUAAUAACUCCGAGAGGCAUCUCCUGGGGUUUAAAGGGUAACACCGGCUACGGAUGGCCAUGCGGCGCAUUAGCUAGUUGGCGGGGUAACGGCCCACCAAGGCGACGAUGCGUAGGGGUUCUGAGAGGAAGGUCCCCCACACUGGUACUGAGACACGGACCAGACUCCUACGGGAGGCAGCAGUGAGGAAUAUUGGUCAAUGGGCGCGAGCCUGAACCAGCCAAGUCGCGUGAGGGAAGACGGUCCUAUGGAUUGUAAACCUCUUUUGUCGGGGAGCAAAAGACGCCACGCGUGGCGUUCCGAGAGUACCCGAAGAAAAAGCAUCGGCUAACUCCGUGCCAGCAGCCGCGGUAAUACGGAGGAUGCGAGCGUUAUCCGGAUUUAUUGGGUUUAAAGGGUGCGCAGGCGGAAGAUCAAGUCAGCGGUAAAAUUGAGAGGCUCAACCUCUUCGAGCCGUUGAAACUGGUUUUCUUGAGUGAGCGAGAAGUAUGCGGAAUGCGUGGUGUAGCGGUGAAAUGCAUAGAUAUCACGCAGAACUCCGAUUGCGAAGGCAGCAUACCGGCGCUCAACUGACGCUCAUGCACGAAAGUGUGGGUAUCGAACAGGAUUAGAUACCCUGGUAGUCCACACAGUAAACGAU
RNAcentral lists this ribosomal RNA (709 nucleotides) under uncultured bacterium. RNAcentral describes it as "bacterial SSU rRNA". It matches the Rfam family "Bacterial small subunit ribosomal RNA", at positions 104 to 810 of the family's 1533-position model. The record is from RNAcentral.